GUCUGCAGCCAUACCACCCUGAAUGCACCCGAUCUUGUCUGAUCUUGGAAGCUAAACAGGGUCAGGCCUGGUUAGUACUUGGAUGGAAGACAGAUCUUCAGAAGAGACUGUUGGAGACU
Castor canadensis (American beaver) is the source of this 119-nucleotide ribosomal RNA. Lineage: Eukaryota; Metazoa; Chordata; Mammalia; Rodentia; Castoridae. The record is from Ensembl.